UAGAGUUUGAUCAUGGCUCAGAUUGAACGCUGGCGGCAUGCCUUACACAUGCAAGUCGAACGGCAGCGGACCUUCGGGUGCCGGCGAGUGGCGAACGGGUGAGUAAAGUAUCGGAACGUACCUUUCAGUGGGGGAUAACGUAGCGAAAGUUACGCUAAUACCGCAUAUUCUGUGAGCAGGAAAGCAGGGGAUCGCAAGACCUUGCGCUGAUUGAGCGGCCGAUAUCAGAUUAGCUAGUUGGUGGGGUAAAGGCCUACCAAGGCGACGAUCUGUAGCGGGUCUGAGAGGAUGAUCCGCCACACUGGGACUGAGACACGGCCCAGACUCCUACGGGAGGCAGCAGUGGGGAAUUUUGGACAAUGGGCGCAAGCCUGAUCCAGCCAUGCCGCGUGAGUGAAGAAGGCCUUCGGGUUGUAAAGCUCUUUCGGCCGGGAAGAAAUCGCAUGGGCUAAUACCCUGUGUGGAUGACGGUACCGGAAUAAGAAGCACCGGCUAACUACGUGCCAGCAGCCGCGGUAAUACGUAGGGUGCGAGCGUUAAUCGGAAUUACUGGGCGUAAAGCGUGCGCAGGCGGUUUUUUAAGAUAGGCGUGAAAUCCCCGGGCUCAACCUGGGAACUGCGCUUAUGACUGGAAGACUAGAGUAUGGCAGAGGGGGGUGGAAUUCCACGUGUAGCAGUGAAAUGCGUAGAGAUGUGGAGGAACACCGAUGGCGAAGGCAGCCCCCUGGGCCAAUACUGACGCUCAUGCA
RNAcentral lists this ribosomal RNA (749 nucleotides) under uncultured Rhodocyclaceae bacterium. RNAcentral describes it as "bacterial SSU rRNA". It matches the Rfam family "Bacterial small subunit ribosomal RNA", at positions 1 to 753 of the family's 1533-position model. Lineage: Bacteria; Pseudomonadati; Pseudomonadota; Betaproteobacteria; Rhodocyclales; Rhodocyclaceae. The record is from RNAcentral.